UCGGGAAUUUUGUGCAAUGGGCGAAAGCCUGACACAGCAACGCCGCGUGAAGGAUGAAGUCCCUCGGGAUGUAAACUUCGUAAGAAUAGGAAGAAUAAAUGACGGUACUAUUUGUAAGGUCCGGCUAACUACGUGCCAGCAGCCGCGGUAAUACGUAGGGACCAAGCGUUGUUCGGAUUUACUGGGCGUAAAGGGUGCGUAGGCGGCAUAUCAAGUCACUUGUGAAAUCUCCGGGCUUAACUCGGAACUGCCAAGUGAUACUGAUGUGCUAGAGUGCAGAAAGGGCAACUGGAAUUCUUGGUGUAGCGGUGAAAUGCGUAGAUAUCAAGAGGAACACCUGAGGUGAAGACGGGUUGCUGGGCUGACACUGACGCUGAGGCGCGAAAGCCAGGGGAGCAAACGGGAUUAGAUACCCCUGUAGUCCCUGAGCGGGCUGGCAAGGCGCAU
This 447-nucleotide ribosomal RNA is filed under the name uncultured bacterium. Its description in RNAcentral is "bacterial SSU rRNA". It matches the Rfam family "Bacterial small subunit ribosomal RNA", at positions 355 to 825 of the family's 1533-position model. The record is from RNAcentral.